Molecule: ribosomal RNA, 120 nt
Filed under: uncultured bacterium
Lineage: Bacteria
Description: partial 16S ribosomal RNA
Rfam family: Bacterial small subunit ribosomal RNA
Source: RNAcentral
CACGCCCUAAACGAUGUCGACUGGUUGUUGGGGGUUUGACACUCUCAGUAACGAAGCUAACGCGUGAAGUCGACCGCCUGGGGAGUACGGCCGCAAGGUUAAAACUCAAAGGAAUUGACG